Molecule: transfer RNA, 66 nt
Filed under: Desmaulus extinctorium
Lineage: Eukaryota; Metazoa; Mollusca; Gastropoda; Littorinimorpha; Calyptraeidae
Description: tRNA-Ser
Source: RNAcentral
AGUUGCUGUCUUGGAGAAAAUUUGUCUUGAAAAUAAAUUUUAAGUGUUCGAUUCACUUAGUAACUU